Molecule: long non-coding RNA, 222 nt
Filed under: Lathyrus oleraceus (garden pea)
Lineage: Eukaryota; Viridiplantae; Streptophyta; Magnoliopsida; Fabales; Fabaceae
Description: Pisum sativum (pea) long non-coding RNA (PSAT_LNC013454)
Source: RNAcentral
UCAAAAAUGAAAGAAAUGAAAGUCUCUUUUAUUUCUCCGUUUUGUGUGGUAUACAAUUCAAGGAUGAGAGAAAAUCCAAAGAAGAAAAGCACAAAAGAUAAGCACAAGAGGUAUGAGAUGAAUUGCUUUUGUCCGGUUGAUGACUUACCAUGAAAAGGAAUUUCCUUCUUGGAAUCGGAACCAUCAGAAACAGAGCGUUGUAUUAAUGGCAAUUCAUUAGAA